UUUUCUCUUUAUUUUAUUUUCAAAGAUUGAUUUCUGCAAGAGAAACACAUCUGUGUUGUGGAUAAGGAAACAAUGUGACCAGUGCCCCGGGGAAUGGAGGCAGAAGGGAGUGUGCAGUGGGAGAGAGGACAGAGGAGCCUGGGAAGAUCUCCCCCAAAUAAUGAGCGGAAUACAACAAAUGGCAAAUUUGCUGAACAAACCUUUAUUCAACUGCUGAACCAGACACCCUCUGGAACGUUCCGGAAAGCUUUCUAUCUUUUAUCCUAAUGUGACUGAGCAAUCAAGGUAGCCCUGUUUCAAUAGAAAUGGGUUUAUAGUUCAUACAGUUCAAUAGUUCAUCUCCCAUUAUUAUGGUGUAAAUAACCUUAUUGCGCUUUCUCAGGUCCUGCGUAUAUUGUCAGUGUAUUUCAGAUUUAUACACACCGGUCACUUUAAUAGGAACACCUGCACAUCUGCACAGGUAUUCGGUUAUCCAAUCAGCCAAUCAAUGCAUAAAAUCAUACAGAUACAGGUCAAGAGCUUCAUUUAAGUGCAAGGGAAAAGCCACGUUAUUACAAAUAAUUUCUAUAUGUUUUAUAUGCUAGGAAUUCAGUAAAAAAUAAGUCCUUAUCCUUGAGUAGGAUACCUGUGCCCAGAACGUCUUGAGAUCCUGGCAGGGACAUUUAACGGUAGUGGCGUGGGAAUAUAAAAAUGACAACGAGAAAGGUAAAUAUUGAGCUUGAC
This is a long non-coding RNA of Ictalurus punctatus (channel catfish), 723 nucleotides long. The record is from Ensembl. Lineage: Eukaryota; Metazoa; Chordata; Actinopteri; Siluriformes; Ictaluridae.